RNAcentral lists this transfer RNA (68 nucleotides) under Potamothrissa acutirostris (sharpnosed sawtooth pellonuline). RNAcentral's name for it is "tRNA-Phe". It matches the Rfam family "tRNA". Rfam says of the family: Transfer RNA (tRNA) molecules are approximately 80 nucleotides in length. Their secondary structure includes four short double-helical elements and three loops (D, anti-codon, and T loops). Further hydrogen bonds mediate the characteristic L-shaped molecular structure. tRNAs have two regions of fundamental functional importance: the anti-codon, which is responsible for specific mRNA codon recognition, and the 3' end, to which the tRNAs corresponding amino acid is attached (by aminoacyl-tRNA synthetases). tRNAs cope with the degeneracy of the genetic code in two manners: having more than one tRNA (with a specific anti-codon) for a particular amino acid; and 'wobble' base-pairing, i.e. permitting non-standard base-pairing at the 3rd anti-codon position. The record is from RNAcentral. Lineage: Eukaryota; Metazoa; Chordata; Actinopteri; Clupeiformes; Clupeidae.
GCUGGCGUAGCUUAAGCAAAGCAUAACACUGAAGAUGUUAAGAUGGGCCCUAGAAAGCCCCGCUAGCA